AUGCAUCUAAAGAUUGCUUAUCUGCUUGAAACUCAUUACUAUACCUUCUUACUUUACUCUCGAUAUUUUCUUAAGUAUCUAUUCAAGAGUUACUUUCUACCACAUUCCCUGAGUUAUCCGCCAGAUAGUCAACCUUGUAAGGCUCGUUCUUCCGAAGUUACCCUUUGUCCUUUUGUAAGUACUAUGAAGUUCCCGAAGAAAGGAUACCUACUUCAUCAUGAUGACCUGAAGCAGAGAAAUGAAGACAUCAAUUUAAUGGAUCGACCUCUUCGAGAAGAGCAACCAAGACCGAGAAUUCGUUAG
This 303-nucleotide ribosomal RNA is filed under the name Triticum aestivum (bread wheat). RNAcentral's name for it is "partial small subunit ribosomal RNA". The record is from RNAcentral. Lineage: Eukaryota; Viridiplantae; Streptophyta; Magnoliopsida; Poales; Poaceae.